RNAcentral lists this non-coding RNA (283 nucleotides) under Astyanax mexicanus (Mexican tetra). RNAcentral describes it as "Eukaryotic large subunit ribosomal RNA". It matches the Rfam family "Eukaryotic large subunit ribosomal RNA", at positions 679 to 954 of the family's 3401-position model. Lineage: Eukaryota; Metazoa; Chordata; Actinopteri; Characiformes; Acestrorhamphidae. The record is from Rfam by way of RNAcentral.
CCACUCUGAGGAAAGGGCUGAAAGAAACCCCACGGCGCAAUGACUGUGAAGGUGGGACCCCCCCCUACGGGUCGCGGGGGCGCACCACCGGCCCGUCUCUCCCGCUCCGUCGGGGAGGUGGAGCUAGAUCGUACGCGAUGGUACCCGAAAGAUGGUGAACUAUGCCUGGGCAGGGCGAAGCCAGGGGAAACUCUGGUGGAGGCCCGCAGCGGUCCUGACGUGCAAAUCAGUCGUCCGACCUGGGUAUAGGGGCGAAAGACUAAUCGAACCAUCUAGUAGCUGG